AAAGCAUAUAAGCGCGAAGCCCACCCCAAGAUGAGAUUUCUCUUAAGGGUCGUUCGAGACUAGGACGUUGAUAGGCUACAGGUGUAAAGGCAGUAAUGUCAUAGCCGAGUAGUACUAAUUACCCGUGGAUUCGAACCA
RNAcentral lists this ribosomal RNA (138 nucleotides) under Schleiferiaceae bacterium. RNAcentral describes it as "partial 23S ribosomal RNA". It matches the Rfam family "Bacterial large subunit ribosomal RNA", at positions 2774 to 2925 of the family's 2925-position model. The record is from RNAcentral. Lineage: Bacteria; Pseudomonadati; Bacteroidota; Flavobacteriia; Flavobacteriales; Schleiferiaceae.